UACGUAGGGGGCAAGCGUUGUCCGGAAUCAUUGGGCGUAAAGAGCGUGUAGGUGGCUCGGUAAGUCCGCUGUGAAAGUCCAGGGCUCAACCCUGGAAAGCCGGUGGAAACUGUCGAGCUCGAGUCCGGAAGAGGCGAGUGGAAUUCCUGGUGUAGCGGUGAAAUGCGCAGAUAUCAGGAGGAACGCCAAUGGCGAAGGCAGCUCGCUGGGACGGUACUGACACUGAGACGCGAAAGCGUGGGGAGCAAACAGG
RNAcentral lists this ribosomal RNA (253 nucleotides) under uncultured bacterium. Its description in RNAcentral is "partial 16S ribosomal RNA". It matches the Rfam family "Bacterial small subunit ribosomal RNA", at positions 524 to 776 of the family's 1533-position model. The record is from RNAcentral.